GGGGGCAUGGUUCAGUGGUAGAGUAUCGGCUUGGUAUCUAGAAGGUCGCAGGUUCAAUUCCCGUCAUCUCCA
RNAcentral lists this transfer RNA (72 nucleotides) under Sphaerodactylus townsendi. Its description in RNAcentral is "tRNA-Thr". It matches the Rfam family "tRNA". Rfam says of the family: Transfer RNA (tRNA) molecules are approximately 80 nucleotides in length. The record is from RNAcentral. Lineage: Eukaryota; Metazoa; Chordata; Lepidosauria; Squamata; Sphaerodactylidae.